RNAcentral lists this ribosomal RNA (234 nucleotides) under uncultured bacterium. RNAcentral's name for it is "partial 16S ribosomal RNA". It matches the Rfam family "Bacterial small subunit ribosomal RNA", at positions 15 to 244 of the family's 1533-position model. The record is from RNAcentral.
GAUCCUGGCUCAGGACGAACGCUGGCGGCGCGCCUAACACAUGCAAGUCGAACGAGAGAGAAGGAGCUUGCUCCUUUGAUCGAGUGGCGAACGGGUGAGUAACGCGUGAGGAACCUGCCUCAAAGAGGGGGACAACAGUUGGAAACGACUGCUAAUACCGCAUAAGCCCACGGCUCGGCAUCGAGCAGAGGGAAAAGGAGCAAUCCGCUUUGAGAUGGCCUCGCGUCCGAUUAG